Molecule: long non-coding RNA, 1543 nt
Organism: Hyla sarda
Lineage: Eukaryota; Metazoa; Chordata; Amphibia; Anura; Hylidae
Exons: 5
Source: RefSeq, a predicted model, not a curated record
GUCUGUGUCUCUCAUUAAGGUGGGGGCUACUUUCAGAUGGGGAUUUGGACAGAGAAGGCCUGGAUCUCAUUAUGAAGUAUUUCCUCACUCCCUGCAUGUAAAUCCAUAGAGGCUCCUGCUCCCCAAUACACUCUCCAGUGAAAAUCGGUUCCGCACUCUACCCCAUUCCAAAUCCUCCCACUGGUGACCCGGACAUACACCACCCUCAGGAGAUGGUAAAUGGACUGGGGGCACACCAAUAACUUCUAUACUUACCUUUUGAUUUGUGUGAAGCCCUGGAACUACAAGUAUCUACAGUUUCUGGCAUCUUGGACAUAUUUCACCUCCUAUAUGCUGAGGAAACUUCUUGAACUCCCGUAAACUGCUUGAAUCUUCACUGUUUGCAUCACUAAUCAACAGUAUUACAAAAAAAGCCAUCUACCAAUUGGUUUGAAAACACCUCAAGAUGAAUUAGUAAUUUUUAGUUUUGGAGCACAUUGGAGAAAGAACAACUUGUAUUAAAAUUUGCAACUAUACAACCAUGGGAUAUGAUGAGGUUAUAACUAAUGUAGCUCUGCAAGCAAUAAUAAUACAUUGAGUUAUGCCUAGAUAAGGGUCUGAGAGGCAAAGCAUAAUGUAGAAUCAAUGUUCAAUGUUUUGAAUCAAUGUGCUAUGUAUCACCCCCGCAGGACCAGCACUAGGGCUUUGAAUUUAGCUAGUAGCGAUGUUGUUGGCUAACAGAGAGGAUAUAGAUUGCAAACUUUAGCCUUUAUCCUCUUGAUUAGCCAAUAAAGGUAUCAUGGCUACUUCACUUAUCGCCUAUAUUUCUAGGGCUAACACGGUAAAAACUCUCAUUGGCUAGGAGUAAGGUCAUACAAAAACUGAGACAAAUGGGGCAUCACACAGAAGAAAAUAGCUCUUAACUAGCAAAUAUGCACAGCCACUUCUCAUUUUCUUCAUUCAGGGUGCAGAACCAGAACUGGGCUGUUAGGUCAGCAGUACACACACCUGGACUUCAUUUCCCUUACCAACUGCUUUCUUGCCUUGCAUAGUUCUGGAAAAAGUGCACUAGGCUUAAAGAGGCACUGUCAUUGUUAAAAAAAACUUUCAUAUAUUGCAGGACUCAUUAUUAUAUGACAUUUUACAAUAUAUACCUGUUAAUUUUUUUUUUACAUUUUCACCUGAAAAUCAAGCUCAAAAUAACCACCAAUAGGCCUCGCCUGUCUUUUAGACAGACAGACUAGUCUAGAUUUUACAGCAUACUGGAUACCGGCCAUAAAACAUACCGGUAUCCAGUAUAGGAGAUUUCUAUUGUGUAUGCAAAACUACAGAUAAAGUAUGUGUGGACAUGCUGGGAGCUGUAGUUUUAAAACAGCUUGAGGCAACACUGCUCUAACAAAGUUAUUUACAAACAUUGCAGCUUCAGUUGUUACUAAACUACAACUCCCAGCAUGCUGAAAUAGUCAAAGCUUUCUCGGACUCCUGAAUGACAAAGAAGUUGAUCAGACAUUCAGGAGUCUGUGAAAGAUGAAUGACACACAUAGUGACAGCUAUGCUGAUUAGC